GUGGUCAAGCUAAUAAGGGCUUGCGGAGGAUACCUAGGCACACAGAGGCGAAGAAGGACGUGGUUACCAACGAUAAGCUCCGGGGAGUUGGAAGCAAGCGGUGAGCCGGAGAUUUCCGAAUGGGGAAACCCUGAGUACUGGCUGUUGAAUAUAUAGACAGUCAAGAGCGAACCCAGCGAACUGAAACAUCUUAGUAGCUGGAGGAAAAGAAAUCAAAAGAGAUUCUCCAAGUAGUGGUGAGCGAACGGGGAAGAGCCUAAACCAAAGUGCUUGCAUUUUGGGGUAGUGGGACAGCGUCAUCAAAUCGUAGAGUUAGACGAAGCAGCUAAGUACUGCACCAGAGAAAGUGAAAGUCUUGUAGUCGAAAGCUUGAAGAUAGUAGCUGAAUCCCGAGUAGCAGCGGACACGUGAAAUCCGAUGUGAAUCAGCCGGGACCACCCGGUAAGGCUAAAUACUACUGUGUGACCGAUAGCGAAACAGUACCGCGAGGGAAAGGUGAAAAGAACCCCAAUAAGGGGAGUGAAAUAGAACAUGAAACCGCAAGCCUACAAGCAGUGGGAGUCCGAUUCAACGGAUGACCGCGUGCCUGUUGAAGAAUGAGCCGGCGAGUUAUAGGCACUGGUAGGUUAAGUGAAAACCACGAAGCCAAAGCGAAAGCGAGUCUGAAGAGGGCGCGAAUCAGUGUUUAUAGACCCGAACCCUGGUGAUCUAACCAUGGCCAGGAUGAAGCUUGGGUAACACCAAGUGGAGGUCCGCACCGACCGAUGUUGAAAAAUCGGCGGAUGAGCUGUGGUUAGGGGUGAAAUGCCAAUCGAACCAGGAGCUAGCUGGUUCUCCCCGAAAUGUGUUUAGGCGCAGCGGUUGUGAGUAUAGCUGGGGGGUAAAGCACUAUUUCGGUGCGGGCUGCGAGAGCGGUACCAAAUCGAGAUAAACUCUGAAUACCCAGUGAAAACACAGCCAGACAGACGGUGGGGGAUAAGCUUCAUCGUCAAGAGGGAAACAGCCCAGACCACCAGCUAAGGUCCCCAAAUCAUCGCUAAGUGGCAAAGGAGGUGGGAGUGCACAGACAACCAGGAGGUUUGCCUAGAAGCAGCCACCCUUGAAAGAGUGCGUAAUAGCUCACUGGUCAAGCGCUCCGGCGCCGAAAAUGAAUGGGACUAAGCGAUGUACCGAAGCUGUGGAAUCAGUUAUCAAUUAUCAGUUAACAGUUAACAGUGAAAAAAUUGCUGAUAACUGCUAACUGGUAACUGAAGACUGAUUGGUAGGGGAGCGUUCUGUAUAGGAAGAAGCACUAGCGGCGAGCAGGUGUGGACAGUACAGAAGUGAGAAUGUCGGCUUGAGUAGCGCAAAUGUAUGUGAGAAUCAUACACCCCGAAACCCCAAGGGUUCCAGAGCCAGGUUCGUCCACUCUGGGUUAGUCGGGACCUAAGGCGAGGCCGAACGGCGUAGUCGAUGGACACAGGGUGAAUAAUCCCUGACUAAAGUAUGGGAGGAUUUAUCGGGACGCAUGAGUGGGGACUAAACCCUAAUUGGAUUGGGAGGAGUUUACGAACUCCGCUUAGUUGAAACAAGUGCCAAGAAAAGCGAUAAAUGCGUUGAACAUAUUUUACCCGUACCCGAAACCGACACAGGUGGGGAGGUUGAGAAUACCAAGGGGCGCGAGAUAACUCUCUCUAAGGAACUCGGCAAAAUGGCCCCGUAACUUCGGAAGAAGGGGUACCCAAGGAGACUUGGGUCGCAGUGAAGAGAUCCAGGCGACUGUUUACCAAAAACACAGGUCUCCGCAAACUCGUAAGAGCAUGUAUGGGGGCUGACGCCUGCCCAGUGCCGGAAGGUUAAGGAAGUUGGUCAGCACAUUCGUGUGUGAAGCUGACGACCGAAGCCCCGGUGAACGGCGGCCGUAACUAUAACGGUCCUAAGGUAGCGAAAUUCCUUGUCGGGUAAGUUCCGACCCGCACGAAAGGCGUAACGAUCUGGAUGGUGUCUCGGAGAGAGACUCGGCGAAAUAGGAUUGUCUGUGAAGAUACGGACUACCUGCACCUGGACAGAAAGACCCUAUGAAGCUUUACUGUAACCUGGAAUGGUGUCCGGGCUGAACUUGCGCAGGAUAGGUGGGAGGCGCUGAGAUAUCCCUUGUGGGGGAUAUGGAGCCAACGGUGAGAUACCACUCUAGUUCAGCUAGGAUUCUAACCCGCGACCGUUACCCGGUCGGGAGACAGUUUCAGGCGGGCAGUUUGACUGGGGCGGUCGCCUCCUAAAAGAUAACGGAGGCGCGCAAAGGUUCCCUCAGCACGCUUGGAAACCGUGCGACGAGUGUAAAGGCAUAAAGGGAGCUUGACUGCAACACCUACAAGUGGAGCAGGUACGAAAGUAGGCCUUAGUGAUCCGACGGCGCAGCGUGGAAUGGCCGUCGCUCAACGGAUAAAAGUUACUCUAGGGAUAACAGGCUGAUCUCCCCCAAGAGUCCACAUCGACGGGGAGGUUUGGCACCUCGAUGUCGGCUCAUCGCAACCUGGGGCGGAAGUACGUCCCAAGGGUUGGGCUGUUCGCCCAUUAAAGCGGUACGUGAGCUGGGUUCAGAACGUCGUGAGACAGUUCGGUCCAUAUCCGGUGCAGGCGUAAGAGUAUUGAGAGGAGCCUUCCUUAGUACGAGAGGACCGGGAAGGACGCACCGCUGGUGUACCAGUUAUUGUGCCAACAGUAGACGCUGGGUAGCCAAGUGCGGAGCGGAUAACCGCUGAAAGCAUCUAAGUGGGAAGCCCACCUCAAGAUGAGUACUCUCACAGCUAAAGCUGGUAAGGUCACAGGUAGAACACCUGUUCAUAGGCUCUAAGUGGAAGUGUGGCAACAUAUGAAGCUGAGGAGUACUAAUAGACCGAGGGCUUGACCUC
RNAcentral lists this ribosomal RNA (2891 nucleotides) under Mastigocladus laminosus UU774. Its description in RNAcentral is "23S ribosomal RNA". It matches the Rfam family "Bacterial large subunit ribosomal RNA". The record is from RNAcentral. Lineage: Bacteria; Bacillati; Cyanobacteriota; Cyanophyceae; Nostocales; Hapalosiphonaceae.